AGUUGUUAUACUUUGGCUAGGAGAUAACGAUUUUUGAAUUGUUUCAACCUCUAAACAUUUGAAUUUCCUGUCCAGAUUUCAUCUCUGAAUUAGCCAGUAACGUUAGAAUUUUAUAUACUUAUGUAGAUAAAUUCAAUAAUGUAAACAAGAAUCAAUGUUAAGAAAAUUAAUAACUUAAAUUUUUAUUCUUAUUAGAUUUACGUCAGUCACCAAGCAUUAAAAGAAGAACAAAUAUAGCUUCUCCUGUUUAUGACAGAAACGCUUAUAGUCCAGUUCAUAAAAGAAAAAGAUUGUCACCGUUAACGAAAAAGAUACGCAAUGAAAAGGGGAAAAAUAGGCGCAGACAUUCAUCAAGUUCUUCCGAUUCAGAUUCUACAGCUUCUGACUCAGAUUCAGAGUCUGGAUCUUCAUCUUCCGAAAGUUCAUCGCAAUCCAGAGAAAAUACUCCUCCUAAGCGAUUGCGAAUUUCUGACCGGUUAUCAGCUAACGAAAGAAAAGGAUUGAAAAAAGAUUUGCCGAAAAAGAGGUCUCCAAUUUCAAUAGAGUUAAAAAAGCCGACUACAGUUGGAAUUUCUGCAUUAACAUCUCCUUCUCAAGCAACAACAAGCGAAAAGGAUUCAAAAAAAUCACGACGAGAGGAACUUCUAAAACAAUUAAGAGCGGUUGAGGAUGCAAUUGCGAAGAAACGUUCAAAACUUGCAUAAUUUAAAUGUUUAGAAGACAUCAACUUAAUAGUUGCAAAAGAUGAACUAAUUUUUAUUUCAAUUACAUAUGUAUUUUCAAAUUAAAGCUGCAUUGACAAAAUUAUUAAAUAUAUAUAUUAAUUUAAUAUACUAAA
Long non-coding RNA from Lucilia cuprina (Australian sheep blowfly), 838 nucleotides. RefSeq lists it as uncharacterized. The transcript has 4 exons. The record is from RefSeq and is a predicted model, not a curated record. NCBI's taxonomy places the organism in Eukaryota, Metazoa, Arthropoda, Insecta, Diptera, Calliphoridae.